Molecule: ribosomal RNA, 236 nt
Filed under: uncultured bacterium
Lineage: Bacteria
Description: partial 16S ribosomal RNA
Rfam family: Bacterial small subunit ribosomal RNA
Source: RNAcentral
GAUCCUGGCUCAGGAUGAACGCUAGCGGCAGGCUUAACACAUGCAAGUCGAGGGGCAGCAUAAUGGAUAGCAAUAUCUAUGGUGGCGACCGGCGCACGGGUGCGUAACGCGUAUGCAACCUACCUUUAACGAGGGGGAUAACACUGAGAAAUUGGUACUAAUACCCCAUAAUAUCAUAGAAGGCAUCUUUUANGGUUGAAAUUCCGAUGGUUAGAGAUGGGCAUGCGUUGUAUUAG